Molecule: ribosomal RNA, 399 nt
Filed under: uncultured bacterium
Lineage: Bacteria
Description: bacterial SSU rRNA
Rfam family: Bacterial small subunit ribosomal RNA
Source: RNAcentral
GGGAAUAUUGGACAAUGGGCGCAAGCCUGAUCCAGCCAUGCCGCGUGAGUGAUGAAGGCCUUAGGGUUGUAAAGCUCUUUCGCACGCGACGAUAAUGACGGUAGCGUGAGAAGAAGCCCCGGCUAACUUCGUGCCAGCAGCCGCGGUAAUACGAAGGGGGCUAGCGUUGUUCGGAUUUACUGGGCGUAAAGGGCGCGUAGGCGGAUUGAUCAGUCAGGGGUGAAAUGCCAAGGCUCAACCUUGGAACUGCCUUUGAUACUGUUGAUCUCGAGUCCGGGAGAGGUGAGUGGAACUGCGAGUGUAGAGGUGAAAUUCGUAGAUAUUCGCAAGAACACCAGUGGCGAAGGCGGCUCACUGGCCCGGAACUGACGCUGAGGCGCGAAAGCGUGGGGAGCAAAC